UUUCCGUAGGUGAACCUGCGGAAGGAUCAUUAUAAAUGAAAAACGAAUAACUUCAGGGAAGAAGGGAACCUGCACGGUGACCUCCCCUGUCGGGCCACCCAAUACCUUCAAAAUGCCGCCGUCCUAGCGGUGGCAGACGAAAAAAAAACAAGAAAAACAAAAUAGAAACAGGCACGGUGGCCCGUUCACCUUCACACAACCCUCCGAGUACCGCUUCCAUGUUGCUUCCCCGCAAAUCCACCUCUUUGGUGAGCGCGGGGGAGGUCCGCAUCAAAUUCACCUGAAUGUCACAGCAGUCAGACAGCCCUUCAUGGAAACAAUAAAACUUUCAACAACGGAUCUCUUGGUUCCC
RNAcentral lists this unclassified non-coding RNA (352 nucleotides) under plant metagenome. RNAcentral's name for it is "partial contains small subunit ribosomal RNA, internal transcribed spacer 1, and 5.8S ribosomal RNA". The record is from RNAcentral.